AGAAACUUAGGUUCAACCAAACCAAGAGCCUUCAAAGCCCUAAAUAGGAGUACCCACCCCCCUCGUUUCUG
This 71-nucleotide transfer RNA is filed under the name Phyllodactylus xanti. Its description in RNAcentral is "tRNA-Trp". The record is from RNAcentral. Lineage: Eukaryota; Metazoa; Chordata; Lepidosauria; Squamata; Phyllodactylidae.